This 57-nucleotide transfer RNA is filed under the name Centruroides vittatus. RNAcentral describes it as "tRNA-His". Lineage: Eukaryota; Metazoa; Arthropoda; Arachnida; Scorpiones; Buthidae. The record is from RNAcentral.
AUCUUAGUAGUUUAUCAUAAAAACCUUAGUUUGUGGUACUAAAAAAAAUAUAAGAUA